Molecule: ribosomal RNA, 2236 nt
Filed under: Escherichia coli
Lineage: Bacteria; Pseudomonadati; Pseudomonadota; Gammaproteobacteria; Enterobacterales; Enterobacteriaceae
Description: bacterial LSU rRNA
Rfam family: Bacterial large subunit ribosomal RNA
Source: RNAcentral
GUGUGACUGCGUACCUUUUGUAUAAUGGGUCAGCGACUUAUAUUCUGUAGCAAGGUUAACCGAAUAGGGGAGCCGAAGGGAAACCGAGUCUUAACUGGGCGUUAAGUUGCAGGGUAUAGACCCGAAACCCGGUGAUCUAGCCAUGGGCAGGUUGAAGGUUGGGUAACACUAACUGGAGGACCGAACCGACUAAUGUUGAAAAAUUAGCGGAUGACUUGUGGCUGGGGGUGAAAGGCCAAUCAAACCGGGAGAUAGCUGGUUCUCCCCGAAAGCUAUUUAGGUAGCGCCUCGUGAAUUCAUCUCCGGGGGUAGAGCACUGUUUCGGCAAGGGGGUCAUCCCGACUUACCAACCCGAUGCAAACUGCGAAUACCGGAGAAUGUUAUCACGGGAGACACACGGCGGGUGCUAACGUCCGUCGUGAAGAGGGAAACAACCCAGACCGCCAGCUAAGGUCCCAAAGUCAUGGUUAAGUGGGAAACGAUGUGGGAAGGCCCAGACAGCCAGGAUGUUGGCUUAGAAGCAGCCAUCAUUUAAAGAAAGCGUAAUAGCUCACUGGUCGAGUCGGCCUGCGCGGAAGAUGUAACGGGGCUAAACCAUGCACCGAAGCUGCGGCAGCGACGCUGAUGCGUUGUUGGGUAGGGGAGCGUUCUGUAAGCCUGUGAAGGUGUGCUGUGAGGCAUGCUGGAGGUAUCAGAAGUGCGAAUGCUGACAUAAGUAACGAUAAAGCGGGUGAAAAGCCCGCUCGCCGGAAGACCAAGGGUUCCUGUCCAACGUUAAUCGGGGCAGGGUGAGUCGACCCCUAAGGCGAGGCCGAAAGGCGUAGUCGAUGGGAAACAGGUUAAUAUUCCUGUACUUGGUGUUACUGCGAAGGGGGGACGGAGAAGGCUAUGUUGGCCGGGCGACGGUUGUCCCGGUUUAAGCGUGUAGGCUGGUUUUCCAGGCAAAUCCGGAAAAUCAAGGCUGAGGCGUGAUGACGAGGCACUACGGUGCUGAAGCAACAAAUGCCCUGCUUCCAGGAAAAGCCUCUAAGCAUCAGGUAACAUCAAAUCGUACCCCAAACCGACACAGGUGGUCAGGUAGAGAAUACCAAGGCGCUUGAGAGAACUCGGGUGAAGGAACUAGGCAAAAUGGUGCCGUAACUUCGGGAGAAGGCACGCUGAUAUGUAGGUGAAGUCCCUCGCGGAUGGAGCUGAAAUCAGUCGAAGAUACCAGCUGGCUGCAACUGUUUAUUAAAAACACAGCACUGUGCAAACACGAAAGUGGACGUAUACGGUGUGACGCCUGCCCGGUGCCGGAAGGUUAAUUGAUGGGGUUAGCGCAAGCGAAGCUCUUGAUCGAAGCCCCGGUAAACGGCGGCCGUAACUAUAACGGUCCUAAGGUAGCGAAAUUCCUUGUCGGGUAAGUUCCGACCUGCACGAAUGGCGUAAUGAUGGCCAGGCUGUCUCCACCCGAGACUCAGUGAAAUUGAACUCGCUGUGAAGAUGCAGUGUACCCGCGGCAAGACGGAAAGACCCCGUGAACCUUUACUAUAGCUUGACACUGAACAUUGAGCCUUGAUGUGUAGGAUAGGUGGGAGGCUUGGAAGUGUGGACGCCAGUCUGCAUGGAGCCGACCUUGAAAUACCACCCUUUAAUGUUUGAUGUUCUAACGUUGACCCGUAAUCCGGGUUGCGGACAGUGUCUGGUGGGUAGUUUGACUGGGGCGGUCUCCUCCUAAAGAGUAACGGAGGAGCACGAAGGUUGGCUAAUCCUGGUCGGACAUCAGGAGGUUAGUGCAAUGGCAUAAGCCAGCUUGACUGCGAGCGUGACGGCGCGAGCAGGUGCGAAAGCAGGUCAUAGUGAUCCGGUGGUUCUGAAUGGAAGGGCCAUCGCUCAACGGAUAAAAGGUACUCCGGGGAUAACAGGCUGAUACCGCCCAAGAGUUCAUAUCGACGGCGGUGUUUGGCACCUCGAUGUCGGCUCAUCACAUCCUGGGGCUGAAGUAGGUCCCAAGGGUAUGGCUGUUCGCCAUUUAAAGUGGUACGCGAGCUGGGUUUAGAACGUCGUGAGACAGUUCGGUCCCUAUCUGCCGUGGGCGCUGGAGAACUGAGGGGGGCUGCUCCUAGUACGAGAGGACCGGAGUGGACGCAUCACUGGUGUUCGGGUUGUCAUGCCAAUGGCACUGCCCGGUAGCUAAAUGCGGAAGAGAUAAGUGCUGAAAGCAUCUAAGCACGAAACUUGCCCCGAGAUGAGUUCU